GGCAUGCAAGUCGAACGGAAUAAUGGCUUCGGCUAUUAUUUAGUGGCGGAAGGGUUAGUAAUACAUAGAUAAUUUGUUCUUAACUUGGGAAUAACGGUUGGAAACGGCCGCUAAUACCGAAUGUGGUGUGUUUAGGCAUCUAAAUUACAUUAAAGAAGGGGAUCUUCGGACCUUUCGGUUAAGAGAAAGUCUGUGGGAUAUCAGCUUGUUGGUGGGGUAAUGGCCUACCAAGGCUAUGACGUCUAGGCGGAUUGAGAGAUUGACCGCCAACACUGGGACUGAGACACUGCCCAGACUCCUACGGGAGGCUGCAGUCGAGAAUCUUUCGCAAUGGACGAAAGUCUGACGAAGCGACGCCGCGUGUGUGAUGAAGGCUCUAGGGUUGUAAAGCACUUUCGCCUGGGAAUAAGAGAGAUUGGCUAAUAUCCAAUUGAUUUGAGCGUACCAGGUAAAGAAGCACCGGCUAACUCCGUGCCAGCAGCUGCGGUAAUACGGAGGGUGCUAGCGUUAAUCGGAUUUAUUGGGCGUAAAGGGCGUGUAGGCGGAAAGGAAAGUUAGAUGUCAAAUCUUGAGGCUCAACCUCAAGUCGGCAUCUAAUACUAUCUUUCUAGAGGUUGGAUGGAGAAAAGGGAAUUCCACGUGUAGCGGUGAAAUGCGUAGAUAUGUGGAAGAACACCAGUGGCGAAGGCGCUUUUCUAAUUUUUCCUGACGCUAAGGCGCGAAAGCAAGGGGAGCAAACAGGAU
This 744-nucleotide ribosomal RNA is filed under the name Chlamydia pecorum. Its description in RNAcentral is "bacterial SSU rRNA". It matches the Rfam family "Bacterial small subunit ribosomal RNA", at positions 52 to 778 of the family's 1533-position model. Lineage: Bacteria; Pseudomonadati; Chlamydiota; Chlamydiia; Chlamydiales; Chlamydiaceae. The record is from RNAcentral.